GACGAACGCUGGCGGCGUGCUUAACACAUGCCAGUCGAACGAAGUGGCGAACGGGUGAGUAAUACGUGGGUAACCUGCCCUCCUUUUUGGGAUAAGCCUUGGAAACGGGGUCUAAUACCGACUAAAGGGGGAUGGGCUCGCGGCCUAUCAGCUUGUUGGUGGGGUGAUGGCCUACCACGGCGGUGACGGGUAGCCGGCAUGAGAGGGUGACCGGCCACAUUGGGACUGAGAGACUGCCCAGACUCCUACGGGAGGCAGCAGUGGGGGAUAUUGCACAAUGGACGAAAGCCUGAUGCAGCGACGCCGCGUGGGGGAUGAAGGCUUGCGGGUUGUAAACCUCUUUCGAUAUCGAACGGGUAGGUGUAGAAGAAGCGCCGGCUAACUACGUGCCAGCAGCCGCGGUAAUUC
Molecule: ribosomal RNA, 408 nt
Filed under: uncultured bacterium
Lineage: Bacteria
Description: partial 16S ribosomal RNA
Rfam family: Bacterial small subunit ribosomal RNA
Source: RNAcentral